CCGUAGGUGAACCUGCGGAAGGAUCAUUACUGAGUGCGGGCUGCCUCCGGGCGCCCAACCUCCCACCCGUGAAUACCUAACACUGUUGCUUCGGCGGGGAACCCCCUCGGGGGCGAGCCGCCGGGGACUACUGAACUUCAUGCCUGAGAGUGAUGCAGUCUGAGUCUGAAUAUAAAAUCAGUCAAAACUUUCAACAAUGGAUCUCUUGGUUCCGGCAUCGAUGAAGAACGCAGCGAACUGCGAUAAGUAAUGUGAAUUGCAGAAUUCAGUGAAUCAUCGAGUCUUUGAACGCACAUUGCGCCCCCUGGCAUUCCGGGGGGCAUGCCUGUCCGAGCGUCAUUGCUGCCCAUCAAGCCCGGCUUGUGUGUUGGGUCGUCGUCCCCCCCGGGGGACGGGCCCGAAAGGCAGCGGCGGCACCGUGUCCGGUCCUCGAGCGUAUGGGGCUUUGUCACCCGCUCGACUAGGGCCGGCCGGGCGCCAGCCGACGUCUCCAACCAUUUUUCUUCAGGUUGACCUCGGAUCAGGUAGGGAUACCCGCUGAACUUAAGCAUAUCAAUAAGCGGAGGAAAAGAAACCAACCGGGAUUGCCUCAGUAACUG
This 599-nucleotide ribosomal RNA is filed under the name Aspergillus sp. BAB-3878. RNAcentral describes it as "eukaryotic LSU rRNA". The stretch from base 186 to 339 matches the Rfam family "5.8S ribosomal RNA". The record is from RNAcentral. Lineage: Eukaryota; Fungi; Ascomycota; Eurotiomycetes; Eurotiales; Aspergillaceae.